RNAcentral lists this ribosomal RNA (492 nucleotides) under uncultured bacterium. RNAcentral's name for it is "partial 16S ribosomal RNA". It matches the Rfam family "Bacterial small subunit ribosomal RNA", at positions 29 to 507 of the family's 1533-position model. The record is from RNAcentral.
AGUGAACGCUGGCGGUAGGCCUAACACAUGCAAGUCGAACGGCAGCACAGUGAGAGCUUGCUCUUACGGGUGGCGAGUGGCGGACGGGUGAGGAAUACAUCGGAAUCUACUUUUUCGUGGGGGAUAACGUAGGGGAACUUACGCUAAUACCGCAUACGACCUACGGGUGAAAGCAGGGGAUCUUCGGACCUUGCGCGAUUGAAUGAGCCGAUGUCGGAUUAGCUAGUUGGCGGGGUAAAGGCCCACCAAGGCGACGAUCCGUAGCUGGUCUGAGAGGAUGAUCAGCCACACUGGAACUGAGACACGGUCCAGACUCCUACGGGAGGCAGCAGUGGGGAAUAUUGGACAAAGGGCGCAAGCCUGAUCCAGCCAUACCGCGUGGGUGAAGAAGGCCUUCGGGUUGUAAAGCCCUUUUGUUGGGAAAGAAAAGCAGCAGGUUAAUACCCCGCUGUUCUGACGGUACCCAAAGAAUAAGCACCGGCUAACUUCGUG